Molecule: non-coding RNA, 656 nt
Organism: Pantherophis guttatus
Lineage: Eukaryota; Metazoa; Chordata; Lepidosauria; Squamata; Colubridae
Source: the annotation of a RefSeq genome assembly
AUGGUCCAGAGUCUUCUUGGGAGUGUUCCUCAUACAAGAACAUCAAGAGAGAGAAGGUUUUUGUACAGCCCUGUAUCACUGUGGUGGGUGUUCGGAGGAGGAACCCAGCUAACCGUCACAGGUCAGGAUCCAGUAUCUCCUUCGGUCCAAGUCUUUGCUCCUUCUGAGCAAGAGAUCAAAACCCAGAAGAAGGCCACUCUGGUAUGUCUCCUAAGUGGCUUUCACCCACCUGCUUUCACCCUGAAAUGGAAGGUUGAUGGUACAGAGACCACCUCUGGAGUGGAGACAACCAAAGCCACCAAGCAGGGUGACAAAUACCUUGCCAGCAGUUACCUGACCAGGAGUGAUUCCGACUAUGGAGACCAUACGUACGUCUGUGAAGUGAUACAUAAUGGAAAUACCUUUACAAAGGCUCUUACGGGAUCUGGAAGUUGUUAACUCCGUCACGAGCCUUCUCCUGACCACAGACAGGAGGAAAGAGUCCCUUUUCUCAUUCAUUCUUUCCUAAGUUGAGCUUGAUCAAGGAAGGUCUCUUCCUAUGCCAAGUAGUUAUACUCUUUGUAUCCCCUCCAUGCUUCCGUCCUUCAAAUCAGUCCCCUCCUCUUUGAUCUGUUAGAUUCUACUGUCAGCACGUUAAUAAAGAUGGAUCUAUUUCA